This 163-nucleotide unclassified non-coding RNA is filed under the name uncultured fungus. RNAcentral's name for it is "sequence contains ITS1". The record is from RNAcentral. Lineage: Eukaryota; Fungi.
GUUGUCUCAUUAUUAUCGACAUCAACUUACAUACAUAUGCACUCACUCUCAAAUUGUUUUUGCAAAUUCGCCAUUCCCAAGAAUCCCCGGGACGGCCACUUUUCAACAGGGUAGUAGCCAACUAAAUUUGUUAAUGAUCCUUCCGCAGGUUCACCUACGGAAA